RNAcentral lists this ribosomal RNA (720 nucleotides) under uncultured bacterium. RNAcentral's name for it is "bacterial SSU rRNA". It matches the Rfam family "Bacterial small subunit ribosomal RNA", at positions 764 to 1482 of the family's 1533-position model. The record is from RNAcentral.
GGGAGCGAACGGAAUUAGAUACCCCGGUAGUCCUGGCCGUAAACGAUGGGUACUAGGUGUAGGAGGUAUCGACCCCUUCUGUGCCGGAGUUAACGCAAUAAGUACCCCGCCUGGGGAGUACGACCGCAAGGUUGAAACUCAAAGGAAUUGACGGGGGCCCGCACAAGCGGUGGAGUAUGUGGUUUAAUUCGACGCAACGCGAAGAACCUUACCAGGUCUUGACAUUGAUGGACAGAACUAGAGAUAGUUCCUCUUCUUCGGAAGCCAGAAAACAGGUGGUGCACGGUUGUCGUCAGCUCGUGUCGUGAGAUGUUGGGUUAAGUCCCGCAACGAGCGCAACCCCUAUCUUAUGUUGCCAGCACUUCGGGUGGGAACUCAUGAGAGACUGCCGCAGACAAUGCGGAGGAAGGCGGGGAUGACGUCAAAUCAUCAUGCCCCUUAUGACCUGGGCUACACACGUACUACAAUGGGAGUUAAUAGACGGAAGCGAAACCGCGAGGUGGAGCAAACCCGAGAAACACUCUCUCAGUUCGGAUCGUAGGCUGCAACUCGCCUACGUGAAGUCGGAAUCGCUAGUAAUCGCAGGUCAGCAUACUGCGGUGAAUACGUUCCCGGGCCUUGUACACACCGCCCGUCACACCACGAAAGUCGGAAGUGCCCAAAGCCGGUGGGGUAACCUUCGGGAGCCAGCCGUCUAAGGUAAAGUCGAUGAUUGGGGUG